RNAcentral lists this ribosomal RNA (881 nucleotides) under Halomonas sp. PDA17w. RNAcentral's name for it is "bacterial SSU rRNA". It matches the Rfam family "Bacterial small subunit ribosomal RNA", at positions 393 to 1266 of the family's 1533-position model. The record is from RNAcentral. Lineage: Bacteria; Pseudomonadati; Pseudomonadota; Gammaproteobacteria; Oceanospirillales; Halomonadaceae.
CAUGCCGCGUGUGUGAAGAAGGCUUUCGGGUUGUAAAGCACUUUCAGCGAGGAAGAAAGCCUGGUGGUUAAUACCCAUCAGGAAGGACAUCACUCGCAGAAGAAGCACCGGCUAACUCCGUGCCAGCAGCCGCGGUAAUACGGAGGGUGCGAGCGUUAAUCGGAAUUACUGGGCGUAAAGCGCGCGUAGGUGGCUUGGCACGCCGGUUGUGAAAGCCCCGGGCUCAACCUGGGAACGGCAUCCGGAACGGCCAGGCUAGAGUGCAGGAGAGGAAGGUAGAAUUCCCGGUGUAGCGGUGAAAUGCGUAGAGAUCGGGAGGAAUACCAGUGGCGAAGGCGGCCUUCUGGCCUGACACUGACACUGAGGUGCGAAAGCGUGGGUAGCAAACAGGAUUAGAUACCCUGGUAGUCCACGCCGUAAACGAUGUCGACUAGCCGUUGGGACCUUUAAGGACUUAGUGGCGCAGUUAACGCGAUAAGUCGACCGCCUGGGGAGUACGGCCGCAAGGUUAAAACUCAAAUGAAUUGACGGGGGCCCGCACAAGCGGUGGAGCAUGUGGUUUAAUUCGAUGCAACGCGAAGAACCUUACCUACCCUUGACAUCCUGCGAAUUUGGUAGAGAUACCUUAGUGCCUUCGGGAGCGCAGUGACAGGUGCUGCAUGGCUGUCGUCAGCUCGUGUUGUGAAAUGUUGGGUUAAGUCCCGUAACGAGCGCAACCCUUGUCCUUAUUUGCCAGCACGUAAUGGUGGGAACUCUAAGGAGACUGCCGGUGACAAACCGGAGGAAGGUGGGGACGACGUCAAGUCAUCAUGGCCCUUACGGGUAGGGCUACACACGUGCUACAAUGGCCGGUACAAAGGGUUGCGAGACCGCGAGGUGGA